GGUGGAUAAACCAUGACAGCAAUAUUAAAAAAUGAAUAAAAAACGAAUAAAAAACGUCGGUAAUUACCAAAAAUGUGGAGCAGCCGUGCCAUAAUCCUCGCAUUGAGUGGUAUGGAUGGUAUACUCUAUAUCUGUCUGAACACAGUGCAAAAACAUGUACGAUGAGGAAAUUUAUCCUAAUAUUGAAUUUGAUGCCAGGAGCAUAUUUUCAACAGUUGGAAAAGGAGCCAUUUAUCCUGGUGAAAGAUUAAGCCUUGUUCAAACACACUGUAUGCAUUUUGAACCUGAGGAGCACAGCUGCAGUAGUUUUCAACAUGUUUUCCCUUUCUUGGGUGACUGAUUAAGGAUCUGCUCCACAGUUUGGGCCUCAUGCAUUUUUUGCAACAUAACGCGCUGAUGCAUGUCAGAAAUGAACUUCAGGCCAGUUUAGCAUUCUGAUUUACCGAUUCCACAGCUAAGCUUUUGUUUUUUUUUGUGGUUUUUUUUUGUUUUGUUUUGUUGUUUUUUUUGUUGUUGUUUUUUUUGUUAUGACGGUACUAUCUUGCUUAAAUAAGCAAAGUCUUCCCCUAAAAAGAGGUCAUCUGGAUGAUGGUCAUUCAUGCUUCUGCAUCACAUUGUUAAAGCUUACCAUAUAAUGCUUCUGAACUGGCAUUCUCCUCCUCAGAAAUUUAUAUACACAGAUUUUAAAGUUUAUGUGAUGAUAUAUAGUCCUGCAGUAUAAAAUGUAUGUGGUAACAUAAAAGAAAUACCGUUGCUUACUACCCCACUUGGAUGCUCUUAAGCAAGACACUUAUCCUUAACAGUUAGCAGAUGUAUUGUGCAUUUACAACAAACAUGAAGGUACCUUGUCUUGUGGUGUGAUUACAUGCAAACACUAUUCAACUGUGCCGGCCAGUGCAAGUAGUUAAGAUAGUUAAAAUAGUUAAUAUGUGAAAAACCAUCGGAUUGGAGUUUCCUCAUACACAAUCACACACUGAGCUCAAGUAUGGUGCCUGGAGUAAUAUGGGCAAAAUUGCAGGAAGUUAUGGUAACUUCUG
Molecule: long non-coding RNA, 1037 nt
Organism: Astatotilapia calliptera (eastern happy)
Lineage: Eukaryota; Metazoa; Chordata; Actinopteri; Cichliformes; Cichlidae
Source: Ensembl